UACGGGGGGGGCAAGCGUUGUUCGGACUUACUGGGCGUAAAGGGCUCGUAGGCGGCCAACUAAGUCAUACGUGAAAUCCCUCGGCUUAACCGGGGAACUGCGUCUGAUACUGGAUGGCUUGAAUUCGGGAGAGGGAUGCAGAAUUCCAGGUGUAGCGGUGAAAUGCGUAGAUAUCUGGAGGAAUACCGGUGGCGAAGGCGGCAUCCUGGACCGAGAUUGACGCUGAGGAGCGAAAGCCAGGGGAGCAAACGGG
This 253-nucleotide ribosomal RNA is filed under the name uncultured bacterium. RNAcentral describes it as "partial 16S ribosomal RNA". It matches the Rfam family "Bacterial small subunit ribosomal RNA", at positions 524 to 776 of the family's 1533-position model. The record is from RNAcentral.